UCCGUGUCUAUUGUACCCUGUUGCUUCGGCGGGCCCGCCGCUUGUCGGCCGCCGGGGGGGCGCCUCUGCCCCCCGGGCCCGUGCCCGCCGGAGACCCCAACACGAACACUGUCUGAAAGCGUGCAGUCUGAGUUGAUUGAAUGCAAUCAGUUAAAACUUUCAACAAUGGAUCUCUUGGUUCCGGCAUCGA
This 190-nucleotide unclassified non-coding RNA is filed under the name Aspergillus niger. RNAcentral's name for it is "sequence contains ITS1". The record is from RNAcentral. Lineage: Eukaryota; Fungi; Ascomycota; Eurotiomycetes; Eurotiales; Aspergillaceae.